Leptidea sinapis is the source of this 583-nucleotide long non-coding RNA. RefSeq lists it as uncharacterized. The transcript is spliced from 4 exons. The record is from RefSeq and is a predicted model, not a curated record. NCBI's taxonomy places the organism in Eukaryota, Metazoa, Arthropoda, Insecta, Lepidoptera, Pieridae.
GCCAUUAACAUCAUCGUAAAUUUAAUCAUGUUUCUAAUUGUAAUAUGAAUGGUUAUUAUAAUGUCGCCAAUCAUAUUAUUAGUAUCAUGUGUUUAUUUUUCUUUUUUACUUCAUUCAUCAACAGGACAGCCAGGAUAUUUUUAUCAAUAUGAUCAUAUUGGAGUUUCUACUAAAGAUAGAUUAAAGACUAUGGCGACAGAACUUGUGAGCGAAUCUAAACACAGAAUAAGACAAGUAGAAGGGCUUAAAGAUUUUUAUUCUUCAGACCCUUCUUUUGAAAUGGGCCUUAUAAUGGGGGAAAUUCGAGAAAAAUAUAAGUACAUGUUGGAGUUGUAUCGAAUGACGGAUAACAAAUACACCCAGAAAGUGAAAUUUUUAUAUCCAGCAGUUCCUCUGAGGAAGCCUUUACAUUACAUUAUUAGAAUGGAAUAUAUUCAUCAGUUGGAAAUAGAUAUUGAUAGAUUAAUUAUAAUACUAGAAAACUUAGAACCCACUUUAAGUUACAAUAAUUUUGGUUGAGGCAAUAACAUGUUUAUUAUGGUGUUAUUCGAUUUAUACAAAAGGAUUGUUAAUAAAAUAAUGU